This 271-nucleotide unclassified non-coding RNA is filed under the name Glomus sp. RNAcentral's name for it is "partial internal transcribed spacer 2". The stretch from base 1 to 65 matches the Rfam family "5.8S ribosomal RNA", at positions 84 to 154 of the family's 154-position model. The record is from RNAcentral. Lineage: Eukaryota; Fungi; Glomeromycota; Glomeromycetes; Glomerales; Glomeraceae.
GUGAAUCAUCAAAUCUUUGAACGCAAAUUGCACUCUCCGCUGAGAGUAUGCCUAUUUGAGGGCCAGCCUAUAAAAAUCGUCAUCGUUGCUGUUUCGCGGUGGCGUUCGUCGGAAAUUGGGUCAUCUUAAAUCCUUUUUAUUUAUGCGAGUUAAACUUUUCUUUUGGUUCCAUGAACGUUUCUAAGAUCUAUUUCUUUACACGUUUAAGGUAUCGUUUUUUAUUAGACGUGGCCGUCAUCUUGUAUCGCGUCCAUAAUUAUUGGCUAACUGA